Molecule: non-coding RNA, 997 nt
Filed under: Blumeria hordei DH14
Lineage: Eukaryota; Fungi; Ascomycota; Leotiomycetes; Helotiales; Erysiphaceae
Description: Blumeria graminis f. sp. hordei DH14 Eukaryotic large subunit ribosomal RNA
Rfam family: Eukaryotic large subunit ribosomal RNA
Source: Rfam by way of RNAcentral
UGACCUCGAAUCAGGUAGGGAUACCCGCUGAACUUAAGCAUAUCAAUAAGCGGAGGAAAAGAAACCAACAGGGAUUACCUCAGUAACGGCGAGUGAAGCGGUAACAGCUCAAAUUUGAAAUCUGGUCCGGUUACGGGCCCGAGUUGUAAUUUGUAGAAGAUGCUUUGGUAAUGAGUCCGGCCUAAGUUCCUUGGAACAGGACGUCAUAGAGGGUGAGAACCCCGUAUGCGGCCGAGUACUCAGUGCCAAGUAAAGCUCUUUCGACGAGUCGAGUUGUUUGGGAAUGCAGCUCAAAAUGGGUGGUAAAUUUCAUCUAAAGCUAAAUAUUGGCCAGAGACCGAUAGCGCACAAGUAGAGUGAUCGAAAGAUGAAAAGCACUUUGGAAAGAGAGUUAAACAGUACGUGAAAUUGUUGAAAGGGAAGCGCUUGCAACCAGACUUGGGCACUGUGGAUCAUCCGAGGUUCUCCUCGGUGCACUCGGCAGUGCGCAGGCCAGCAUCAGUUUGGGUGGUUGGAUAAAGACUUGUGGAAUGUAGCUCCUUUCGGGGAGUGUUAUAGCCACAGGUGCCAUGCGACCAACCCGGACUGAGGACCGCGCUUCGGCUAGGAUGCUGGCGUAAUGGUUGUAAGCGACCCGUCUUGAAACACGGACCAAGGAGUCUAACAUCUAUGCGAGUGUUUGGGUGUUAAACCCAUACGCGGAAUGAAAGUGAACGUAGGUGAGAACCUGUAAGGGGGCAUCAUCGACCGAUCCGGAUGUCUUCGGAUGGAUUUGAGUAAGAGCAUAGCUGUUGGGACCCGAAAGAUGGUGAACUAUGCCUGAAUAGGGUGAAGCCAGAGGAAACUCUGGUGGAGGCUCGCAGCGGUUCUGACGUGCAAAUCGAUCGUCAAAUUUGGGUAUAGGGGCGAAAGACUAAUCGAACCAUCUAGUAGCUGGUUCCUGCCGAAGUUUCCCUCAGGAUAGCAGUGUUGAAUUCAGUUUUAUGAGGUAAAGCGA